UCAUUUUGGAAUAGUUGUGUAGAUGGUCUGUUGUGGAGUAAAAUCUGGAUGUUGCUGAUGUGUUGAUUCAAACCGUCUAUAGAAUCAGUCAAAAAAGAUCAAUAUCACCAACUGUUUUCCCCCUCGAGUCAUUCGAUUCAUCACUGGCAGUAAUGACCUAUUCCCUUGUUACCCCACCAGAUAAAAUUGUGAUCACACAGUGAACGCUCAAGGACGGCAACUGCUGCAGCUCUGCCAAGGACUGGCUCUGUACAUCGUCAACGGAAGACUGCGAGGGGACUCGCUCGGCCGAUACACCAACAGCUCAGCUCAGAUCUCGACCUUUCUUCUUUGAGAGCAUUCACAGUCAAACCCUUAAAACCUUUCUCAGACCACAGCCAAAUCACCCUUUAUAUAAAGCAAUCUGAAACAUCACCUAAACCAAUUAAAAAACCAUAUCAAAUUAACAAAAUAACAUCAUUUAAAUGGCCAGAAAACAGCACCACUAAUUACAUCAAUGCUGUUGAAUCUUCAGAAAUUCAAUCUCUCUUACAUUCAUUCCAAACACAGGUAUACCCUAAAAAUCAAUUCGGCAUCAAUCAGGAAGUACAAGAUCUAACAUUCUACAAAACAACACAAAAAAGUAAUUUAACAAUUGUUAAAUCAAAGAAAAAUAUUUGAUUUGGACUGUAAGGCUCUGAGAAAAAACCUCCGAAAUUUAUCAAAUCAAAAACACAGACAACCAGAUAAUCCGGACCUCCGCCUUCAUUACUGUGAGGCACUAAAACAAUAUAAAGCCACAUUCCGUAAGAAAAAAGCACAGUUUUUGCAAAACCAGUUUGAAGAAAAGAUUGAAGAAAUCGAAAAGUCUAUAAAUUCACACAAAUUUUAUGAUAAAUGGAGAUUACUAUACAAACCAAAUCAAGAAGUUCUGGCAAUCCAAGAUGGGGAGAAAUGGAAAAACCACUUCCAAGAAUUAAAUAGCCCAUCUGAAAUUCUAAAUUCUAAUCAAAAUGAAAUAAUUAAUAAACUAGACAAUUUGGAACGAUCAGUUGAAGCAAAUCAAAACCCCUUAGAUUUUCCCAUAACAAUAACAGAAUUGGAAGACAAAUUACGGGUCCUUGAGUCCAAGAAAGCCUGUGGUGUUGACAGCAUCCUGAAUGAGAUGCUGAAACACACAGACCAAAGCUUCAAACUGGCAAUGCUAAAACUAUUAAAUGAUGUUCUGAGUGUCGGGUUUUUCCCUGAGAUCUGAACAAGGGCCUCAUUAGCCCCAUCCACAAGAAUGGUGACAAAUUAGACCCCAGCAACUACCGAGGCAUUUGUGUGAACAGUAACCUGGGGAAGGUUUUCUGCAGCAUCUUAAACACGAGACUCCUAGACUUCCUUAUGAAGCACAAUGCCUAAAUGUCAAAUUGGCUUUCUUCCAAAAUGUCGCACAUCCGAUCACAUUUUCACAUUACAAACACUGAUAAAUAUAUACAUCAAAACAAAAGACAAUUUUUUGCUUGUUUCGUUGAUUUCAAAAAAGCAUUUGAUUCAAUCUGGCAUGAAGGAUUAUAUUUACUUAAUUAGGAUUAUAUUAUUAUACUGUAACGGAUUUCUGUAAUUUGAACAGUAUUUUACUGUAAACGGCAAAGGAUUAUGGGAAAAUAUAUGGUUGGUGCCUUUUUUCUGACUGUCGGCCGGAUCGCCGUUAUAACGGUGAUAUGAUCACUUGAUUCAGAUCUGCUCAUCAGGCAGAGCCAUGGAAACUUAACGUUAACAGCAGAGAACUAACAUGACAUACUGAUGGGGUUUUGGACCCUUUUCAUUGCCGUCAUAACGGUAACAUCUGUUUUUGCGGGAUCAUGUCAUCUGUAUCGUCGGAGGAUCAUUCUGGAGUCUUUUCUUGUGAUUGCCGUCGUAACGGCGGUAACAUCAACAGCUGCCAUUUCCUCUGGACUGUACCACUGCUGCUGCUCUCACUAACACAGAAAGAGUGAUGCUUUGAGGAGGAGGAAAAAGGAGAGUCUUUAAGCAAAAAAACAUGGAUGCUGACUAUGAAGGGCAGAAUAAUCAUCUAGCCAACAGACUCUUUUUCAUCAUUUGCUGUCCACUUUGUUGGAAUGCAGAAUUGGGUUCAUUCCGAGAAUCAACCCUGAUGGCACCAAAUACCCAAGUCAAAGAUCAGAUGGAAUCUCAAAAGGUCCAAAGAAAAGCUUCAGCCUGAACCCAUCAAGGUGUUUCUCAUCUGAAAGCUUGUCAACUUUGACUGCCGUAAUUAUUGAAAUGUAACACAACACAAACUGACUUUUACUGCAUUUUUAAGGCCUGUUUUGCUUUUCAGCAUGUGUACUUUUUUGCCAUGUUACAGAAGAAAGAAAAGGUUUAAAAUGAUUAAAAAGAAUAUUAUAUGGACAAA
This is a long non-coding RNA of Megalobrama amblycephala (Wuchang bream), 2383 nucleotides long. RefSeq lists it as uncharacterized. The transcript is spliced from 8 exons. The record is from RefSeq and is a predicted model, not a curated record. Lineage: Eukaryota; Metazoa; Chordata; Actinopteri; Cypriniformes; Xenocyprididae.